AAGUCGUAACAAGGUUUCCGUAGGUGAACCUGCGGAAGAGACGCUCUUGUAGCCCAGGAGGAACAGCAAUCCCGGUAAAUCAAUGGCGGAAAAGUUUUGAUUCGGGACCUCUGUCCAAAAGGUAUCAAGUUACAAUCGAGCUAGGAGCAGUGGCAUGGUUUCCCUAAGCAGUGCAGAAGGAUCCACUGAGUAAGGAUAACGCAUCACGGUUGCCAGAGGUCGAUCACCGGCCGGCAGACAUGUCACAGGGCUUUACGCCCCUUCAUUCACCCCUUGCCUAAUCAAGCCCCGCGGAAACGCCGGGCAAAAAAAUCUGAACAACUGUUAACAAUGGAUAUCUUGGUUCUC
RNAcentral lists this unclassified non-coding RNA (348 nucleotides) under fungal sp. RNAcentral describes it as "partial internal transcribed spacer region". The record is from RNAcentral. Lineage: Eukaryota; Fungi.